RNAcentral lists this ribosomal RNA (443 nucleotides) under uncultured bacterium. Its description in RNAcentral is "partial 16S ribosomal RNA". It matches the Rfam family "Bacterial small subunit ribosomal RNA", at positions 338 to 795 of the family's 1533-position model. The record is from RNAcentral.
CCUACGGGUGGCAGCAGUGGGGAAUAUUGGACAAUGGGCGCAAGCCUGACCCAGCAACGCCGCGUGAAUGAAGAAGGCCUUCGGGUUGUAAACUUCUGUUAUCAGGGACGAAGCAAGUGACGGUACAUUAUGAAUAAUCCACGGCUAACUACGUACCAGCAGCCGGGGUAAUACGUAGGUGGCAAGCGUUAUCCGCAUUGGCUGGGAGUAAAGUGCGGGCAGGCGGGCGUGCAAGUCAGAUGUGAAAGCUAUGGGCUUAACCCGUGGAGUGCAUUUGAUACAGGGCUACUUGAGUGCUGGAGAGGCGAUCGGAAUUCCAUGUGUAGCGGUGAAAUGCGUAGAUAGACGGAGGAACACCAGUGGCGAAGGCGGCUUGCUGGACAGUAACUGACGCUGAGGUGCGAAAGCGUGGGGAGCAAACAGGAUUAGAUACCCUUGUAGUC